Acinonyx jubatus (cheetah) is the source of this 1651-nucleotide long non-coding RNA. RefSeq lists it as uncharacterized. NCBI's taxonomy places the organism in Eukaryota, Metazoa, Chordata, Mammalia, Carnivora, Felidae. The transcript is spliced from 2 exons. The record is from RefSeq and is a predicted model, not a curated record.
UGAGAAAAGUGAUGUGUAGAAAAGUCAAGCCAGAGAACCAGGAGGUAACAGAGCUGGGAUUUGAACCCAAGAAGCCUGGCCAAGAACUUUGUGCCCCUGAAUACUCUGCUUUUCUGCUGAUCCUGUCAUAGGGACCCUGCACCCUAUCACUGGUCAAUGUGGGAAUAUAAUGGUAAGGCCCUCCUUGCAACAGCUUGGGACCACUUUGGCAGGCCAUUACCAUUCCAGAGCUCCCUGGAGGAGCCAGCUGUGGCCUUCUUUGAAACUCUAUCAACUCAGCCAACUUCUACCCUCUGCCCAGUCCCACUUUCUUUCCUUUCCUUCUGCGGGUAUGCAUCCUGAGAGCCCUCCAAAUAAACUUCCUCAUGCUAAUCUUUGUGUCAGUGUCCGCUUCUUAUGGAAAUCAAGCCGGGACACCUCAUGCAUCCAAACAGACGUUGCAUGCUAAACUGACAUCAGCCUUGUUCCUUUGGAGGCACGUUCAAUACAUUUUCUUCCAGCUAAGGAUGUAUGUAAUCUAACCUAAUGUAAGCAGAUAAGCCAUGACUCAAAAGAGUCAAGAAGCAUAUCUGGUCCAGCAUGAUGCCCAACAUUGAAAGAAGAACCCCUUCUAAGCAAUUAUUAGAUCCUCAUAUGAAGUGUUCAUUGAUUGCAACUGUGGCUGCUAACACUGAGUGCUUAUUAGGUGGCAGGCACUGUGGUGACUGCUUUGCAUGGGUUAUUUCAUUUAGGCCUUAUAAACAACCCUCUAAGAUAGACACUAUUAUCAACUCAUUUUACUGUAAGGCUUACAGUAGUUAAACAACUUUCUCAAGGUUACAUGGUGACAUGGCUUUCUCUGCAACCUUAAGAGGCUACUAGAUUCCCUCACCUAAAUACAUAAUGACAAAGAGCUGUAAAGAAUUCAGUAAUGCAUUUAAAUUACUUUCUAUUUUAUUCACUGUAAAACAGCACCUGGACUCAUUUGAAAUAUAGUAGUAUAUAAGCACUAUUUUUAUUCAGCCUGCAGAAAAUUUUUGGAAUACAUAUGCAUUUGAAAACCUCUACAAUAGCAAAACACAGGAAAAAAAGUGGGAGGGACAUUCAAAACUGGCAAAUGCUAUCAACUUUGAGAAGCAGUAACCGAAGGGACAAAGUAGAAAAUUUUAGUAAGACUUGGUGCCGAUUUAACAUUUACUAUCAUUAUUGUUUCCUGAGAGCCAUCUUGGGGAAAGAAGGUAAGCACUCCAGAUCUCGAGAUUUUCAUUAUUCUCUUCAGUUUUCAGAGAAGUGGACUAAAGGGAUAAGUAGGAAUGCAGGAAAAACAGUCAAGGCAAAUUCUUAAGAAUAAGUGCCACGCUGGAUGAUGACUGAGCAGGAGCAAGAAAUGCCAGUAGGGACAUGAUUUUCCAAAGCUACAUUCUGAAUUGAGUGAAUUAACUGAAGGCUUAGUAUAUUCUACCAGAAAAACAGGAUACUCCUCCAACCAAGUGAAAUAAACCAUAGUAAUGGAUAUUUGACAACAUCUCAGAAGAGAGGGCAAAUCCUAAGGGUUUUAAUUUUUUUGUCAAAGCAAACUGCCAUGUCAGGAGCUGAUGAACUCUUCUCCUUCUCUUGCCUCUGCCCCUACUUUAAGGCAAAAAAAAAAAAAAAAGACAUAAACAAAAGAAAA